Long non-coding RNA from Parus major (Great Tit), 541 nucleotides. RefSeq lists it as uncharacterized. Lineage: Eukaryota; Metazoa; Chordata; Aves; Passeriformes; Paridae. The transcript is spliced from 5 exons. The record is from RefSeq and is a predicted model, not a curated record.
ACGAGCAGUGUCGGAAACUUCUCGAUAAUCAUCGUCCUGGACACACCCUAACUCAGUCUUUCCGGACGCCAUCUUUUCCUCCCCUCAGAGCACAAGAGACAUCCGAGAAGUUGGCGUCGGGUGUCGCGGCCCCGCAGAACCAGGUUUAGAGCAGACUCAUCGCAGCUCUCGCUCCCGACCAGCCGAUCAUGGCCAUUUUUCCGGUUGCCAUUGCAUUCUUUGUGGGACUCGCCAUAGGAGCUGUAAUUGUAGCACUGGCAAAUGAUAAGACCAUGGACUUCUCCAUAAAUGCUGAGGGUGCACGUAUCCAUGUGGGGAAAAAACAAAAGGCCUGACUCUGCACUGCAAGCAUCAGCAGCAGACACUGUGCUGUCUGUUAAAAGAACUGGUGACCAUGGCAGUGAAUAGAAGAUUUCCUUCCUUUCAAGUAGCCUGAUUCAAUGUCUUCCCCCUGCUGGAACUGGAAAGCCCCCCAGCUUCCCCUUUAACAGCAGUUGGAUUACUUUGAGCAAUAAAUGCUUUGAAAGCUUUAACAAAAGUG